This 826-nucleotide ribosomal RNA is filed under the name Tylomelania sp. ZMB 190864.1. RNAcentral's name for it is "partial 16S ribosomal RNA". It matches the Rfam family "Bacterial large subunit ribosomal RNA", at positions 1438 to 2564 of the family's 2925-position model. Lineage: Eukaryota; Metazoa; Mollusca; Gastropoda; Pachychilidae. The record is from RNAcentral.
CUAAAAUUAAUAAUAAAAAAUUUAUCAAUUUAUUUUGUAUCUUAGUUUAUUGAGGAUAAGCUCAGUAAAAAUAAUAAAAUAGUAUAUAUCUCAUUUAAUUAACCACAUGGGCUUGAAAUUAGCCAUUGUAUUAAAGUUUGUUACAAAAUAGUCUUUACAUGCAGAAAGAUUAAUAUACUUUUUUUUAUAGUGGUAAUACGAAAAACCAAGAUAUCUUGAUUCACUUAUGCUAGGAUGAGUAUUGAUGUAUAAGAUAUAUAAACAAAAAUAAAAAAAAUACAUAAAAUAACUUUACUUAAAAUAAAAUAAGAAUAAGGAAUUCAGCAAACGCUUAGCUCCGCCUGUUUAUCAAAAACAUGGCUCUUUGUUAAUCAGAUAUAAAGAGUCGGACCUGCCCAGUGAAGUUUUAACGGCCGCGGUACUCUGACCGUGCAAAGGUAGCAUAAUCAUUUGCCUUAUAAUUGAAGGCUUGUAUGAAUGGUUUGACGGGAGCAUUACUGUCUUUUUCUUACCUUAUAGAACUUGACCUCUAGGUGAAGAGGCCUAGAUACAGUUGAAAGACAAAAAGACCCUGUCGAGCUUAAAAAUGGAUCAGAAUAAUUUUAUUAUUAAAGAUUAAUUACUGGCUAAUUUUUUUGGUUGGGGCGACCAAGGAACAAAAAAGCUUCCUCUACUUUCUUAGCUGAUAAGCAUAGAUCCAGAAAAAGCUGAUUAAAAGAAAUAGUUACCGCAGGGAUAACAGCAUAAUCUCUCUUGAGAGACCUAAUCGAAAGAGGGGAUUGUGACCUCGAUGUUGGACUAGAAUACCCCAAAGACGCAGAAGUCU